GGUGUGGUACCCAAGCGGUAAGGGACUGGUCUGCAAAACCAUCAUUGGUAGGUUCGACUCCUAUCCACACCU
Treponema bryantii is the source of this 72-nucleotide non-coding RNA. The record is from Rfam. Lineage: Bacteria; Pseudomonadati; Spirochaetota; Spirochaetia; Treponematales; Treponemataceae.